Molecule: microRNA, 22 nt
Filed under: Mus musculus (house mouse)
Lineage: Eukaryota; Metazoa; Chordata; Mammalia; Rodentia; Muridae
Description: mmu-miR-8102
Source: miRBase by way of RNAcentral
UCACGCGGGGGAACGAGGAAGA